CUUUUACAUUUCUCAUGGAGCUUCUUUUUACCCUCAGCCAAAAUUUUCCUUCUUUUUCUAAAUUUUCAGAUUUAGAUUCAUCAAACCCACUCCCCAAAUUUAACUUCGUAUUUGCCCCCAAAUUUUAAAAAACCUAUCACAAUAUCUCCUAAAUCACAUUUUGGCGUUCCCUCUACGACCACAUUUUCCCUCUUCACAGUUCUAAUUUCUCUUCCCUGCAUCACAAUCUCGAAUCUCUCCAGAAGCUUCUUCUCACCAAAGCCAUCUUCAUCGACGAAGACACGUUCUCCAAAGCCUUCCUUACCGCUGACCAAGCCCGCUCCAUCAAACUGCUCCAGCCACGAGUUGAGAUAUUGGAGAGAGAGGUUGACGCAGCCAUCACCGCUGCCGCUCGCCCUCGCUCCGAGAAACGACAAGCUGAGGCCGCUCAGAAAGUCGUCGACUUGCGCGCAUAGGAGAGCUGGAAAGCGUUAAAAAAUGAAAUAGGGACCCCGGGAGUGAUUCAUACGACAGUUUAUGAUUUUUUUGAAAUAGGACACCGGGAGUGAAGUUCAUGGUGGCGCUUGAUAUCGGAAGUGACCUGUUCUGGGUACCCUGUGAUUGCACAAGAUGUCUUGCUACUGAUAGCCCAGCCUUUGCUUCGCUGGGGAAAUCAUGGGUCGAAUCUGACAGAGGAGGAGCUUGAAACACAUUCCAUAUCAGCUUGGAAAGAAAGAAAGUGUUAUCUGAAUAGGCAGAACAAUGGAGUUGUGUUUUCCAGACGUUUUAUCCAUGUAAGUUUUUUUAUGGUCGUACUUGCUUAGCUUGGGAGCUGUUGCUGAUAUGCAUUUGGGUGUUUAAUGGACUGCAUUUUCUCUGGGGUGUGUAUGGCUGUUUUAAGAGGUUUCACAUAAACCACUUGGGAUGUAUUGGAGGUUCUUAUUAGAUGGUAGUUUCUUCUGCUGUAUUCAACAUUUAAGCAUGUACUGUCGUAUAUUGAGUUAUAUUUUUCUUUUGUCAAAGCAAACCAGAAAAGAAAUGGUCGUGCCUGCAAGUUGGUGAUUACUGAGCGUCUAUUGGUUAUGUUUUUGUAUCUUCUCGUCAUUGUUAAACUUAUCUAGUACUUAUAAUUUUUCGGAGGUUUUUUUCCUAAUAUUAAAUUAUAAAAGUGAGCGAUGUCAGGUUUUUUAGUCUCACGGAAUUUGUGGUUUUGAUUUUCAAUAUUGAUGUUUGCAUUAUUGUCGGUGAUGGGUGCCCAACUUUCUCGAGGUAGCAUUUGAUUUUCAAAAUUUCUCCUAGAAUAGUGUAUCUUUUGAUUGGAGAUUGAGAGUUUGUUGAAUUGAGAAAUUUACACGUGAAUUACAAAAGUGACAGUUAUAUCUGGUUGUAGAAAAAUGUUUUUUUUCAAAUUGUGAUUUGUGCAGUUUUUCAUGAUGAGAAAGUGCCUAUGUUUGGCAAACUGUGUAUCUAAGUUUUAUCGUAUGCUUAUUUCAUAUUCAUCGUGUUUUUCACAGUCCGUGACAAAUUUUUAGGAGAUCCCUUUUCACUUUAUUGAUUGCAUACAUAUCCAUCUUCGCUCCAAAUUAAAGGUGCACACAACUUUCAUACUUUACCUGAAUUCUUUUAGUUUAUAGUAUGAUGGUUCAUUAGGAUUGAGGGUUUCGGGUUUCGGAUUCCGGGUUCCGGGUUCAACAUAAACUAUUUAUUGUAACAUGAAUAAAUAAAUAACAUACACGUCUUUGUUGCUUUCUAUUUUCCAUCUCUCCUGUCUUUGUUGCUAUAUUCCUUUCAUCACAAAUUUUCGUAUUUUUCCAUAAAGAUAUGAUCAUCAUUCUUAGCAGGUAAACUCGAGUAUGUUAGUCUUGCGUGUUUGGGCAAUUAACAAAUUUUGCUAAAGAAUAUAGAUGCCGGACAAAACAGUUAAUGUAACGUAGGCAUCACCCCUUAGACAUUACUUGUAGUUCUUUUAUGCAUUACAUAACCAACCAAAGAGCAAGCUGGUGCUAAGAUUCAUUUCUCGCAUUUAAUUCUUGUAUUUACUACGCAACCAGGGAAUCUUAAUUCUUGACG
RNAcentral lists this small RNA (2049 nucleotides) under Vigna angularis var. angularis. RNAcentral describes it as "Non-protein coding transcript". The record is from RNAcentral. Lineage: Eukaryota; Viridiplantae; Streptophyta; Magnoliopsida; Fabales; Fabaceae.